AACAAUUCAAUACAUAAAACUAGAGUUAUAAUCCAUAAACAAUCAUCAAUACAUCAAAUCCAUCAAACCUUAAAGGGAACUACUCCAUCGACAUGGAGAAAUUUAUCACAAAUAUAAUUAAAGUAUAGGAAACAUAGAUUCGAUCCAAACUCGGGUCUUGAGUGAGGAAGGAAUGAUGAAAUCCUUGUGUUUAUGUUCUUCCUCCUCCUUAGCUUCCUUAGGUCGAAAAUAUGUCAAAAGUCCUCUCAAAAACAUGUUUUUAGUGUAUUUAUACCAAGUAGGAACAAACCCAAACGAAACUACCCUCUUUGAGCCGAAGUGGAAAAAACUACAAACUUUUUACACUUCAUGUGUCGUACUAUGCUACGCAUGGAGCAUAGCAUUAGUGUAAUUUGCUCGGUUAUAAACCCUCUGAAAUUAGCUUGUCUGACAAAAUUUCGUACUGAUGCUACGCUUUAUGCCACGCAUUAUGCCUAGCAUUAGUGUAUUUUUCUAUUAGACCCAAAAACUCCAAGUUUCUAAACUUCUCAAACUUCUGACGAAAUUUUGUACUAAUGCGACGCUUAAUGCCACGCCUUAUGCGAUGCAAUAGUACUUUUUUCCCCUAGCCCUUGAUCUUUUUUCCAUCUUUCGUAUGCAAUGCCGGUCCACGAGCCCCGGACGCGAUCCCGGUUUAAUUCCUUAGCUUUUUCUCAGACUUCAAAGCUCCAAUUAUUCGAUUUAGCUCCAGAACAUCUCCUACAAAGCAUAAAAUACACAAUCAAUGAAAAACACUAUUAAUUAAAGCUCAAUCACAUGUAAAGUGCAGUGAAUUAGAGUGCAAUAAGAGACUAAAAUUUGGGAUUAUAGUCUACCAUCACACACCAUGUCCAGGUCACCACCUUCGUCCCUCUCUCCCUCUCCACCAGUCCACCACUAUCACCUUAAUUUUUUAGUUUUCACCAGCUAUGUCUAAUUGCCGUUGCGACAAUUCAUCAAACAGGUUGUGCGCGUAAUGUAGUUAUUGCAAUGUCGGUAGCCAAAGUAGUGAAACGCUCCCCCAAAAUUUUCAGUGGGAAUUAUGCUUUAAAAGACAAGAACAUCUUCACAACAAUUCGGCCGUAAGAGACAAAGUUUUCAUGUCAUUCGCACUCAGAUAAGGCUCUAGAGAAGAUGGGGAAAAAAUCAUGGGAGAUAAGACAAGAUGAGAAAGACCAGGAGAAGAGAGAGAACAUAACGACUACCUGGUCGACGGAGUUGGUGGAGAAGGUUGUGAUCACCAGAGAAUUAUUUUUUGUCCAAGAUUUCAAACAAUUAUUAAAAGAAAGGAUUUUCAACAAAAAAUGAAAAAAAUUGACAUAAAUUUCUCCCCCUUCCAUACCUGAGUUUUCAUUGAUUGCUCUCGAUUGAAACAAAGAGGAUGAUGAAGUUUACCCAUUUGUUCUUAGGUAUUGAAUUUAGUAAAUCAAUUUACUAAAUUCAAUGAUGAGGUUAAUCAUCCAUGACAAGAGAAAUUGUUAGUUGAUUUUUA
This 1510-nucleotide long non-coding RNA is filed under the name Nicotiana tabacum (common tobacco). RNAcentral's name for it is "long non-coding RNA (NTAB_LNC007184)". The record is from RNAcentral. Lineage: Eukaryota; Viridiplantae; Streptophyta; Magnoliopsida; Solanales; Solanaceae.